AGUUAAAUAUGAGAGUUAAAUAGUUCUAGUUUUGAAAAUGUGAGAUCGAAAAGGCAAGAAACCAGGCUUUCCUACUGUCUCACAUAAUUUCUUACACAAAAUCAUUUUACAGAGAGAAACUGAGACUCUGAAAAGGUUAAUAUCCAACACAGGUAUUAAGCACCUUCCAGAUGUUCACAAGAUUCAUUCUCUCCAAAAAGUUUUACUUGACAUUCAAGAUAACAUAAACAUCCACACAAUUGAAAGAAAUUCUUUCGUGGGGCUGAGCUUUGAAAGUGUGAUUCUAUGGCUGAAUAAGAAUGGGAUUCAAGAAAUACACAACUGUGCAUUCAAUGGAACCCAACUAGAUGAGCUGAAUCUAAGCGAUAAUAAUAAUUUAGAAGAAUUGCCUAAUGAUGUUUUCCAUGGAGCCUCUGGACCAGUCAUUCUAGAUAUUUCAAGAACAAGGAUCCAUUCCCUGCCUAGCUAUGGCUUAGAAAAUCUUAAGAAGCUGAGGGCCAGGUCGACUUACAACUUAAAAAAGCUGCCUACUCUGGAAAAGCUUGUCG
This 548-nucleotide small RNA is filed under the name Pan troglodytes (chimpanzee). RNAcentral's name for it is "processed transcript". The record is from RNAcentral. Lineage: Eukaryota; Metazoa; Chordata; Mammalia; Primates; Hominidae.